CAUGAUAUUAGCUCUAAACUGCUGGAUCAUACUAGUUUUUCAAAAUGGUGGGGCUGGGGUGAUUUGUGCCAAAGGGCCUGGGUUAAGUUGUGCCAGUGGCACAACAGAGUUCAGAAGUGUUUGCAU
This is a long non-coding RNA of Sphaeramia orbicularis (orbiculate cardinalfish), 126 nucleotides long. RefSeq lists it as uncharacterized. Lineage: Eukaryota; Metazoa; Chordata; Actinopteri; Kurtiformes; Apogonidae. The record is from RefSeq and is a predicted model, not a curated record. The transcript has 4 exons.